CGACCGGCACGGGCUGCUCGGUCCCGGCGGGCACCUCCUCCACCCACGCGCACCGCCCAGCAGACUUUCCCAGACAACCUUUAUGAGUCAGAACCAGGGAUGAAACAGCCAAGCGCAGUUCUGCUGAGCUACUGGUGCUAUCCCUGCCAGCCAAAGACACUGUGAUGAAGAAAUCAGAAAACAAAACAGAUCAAGAGGACUGUGGACCUUUAUUGGAUAGUGCCAGCAUCCUUGAGGUGCUGUGUUUGUGUCAAGUGGACUUCCUGCUGCAAUCUGCUCAAGUAAUUUCAAAGGAUAAUGAUCAUUAUCAGAGACAGGAAAAGGUUUUAU
This 330-nucleotide long non-coding RNA is filed under the name Melopsittacus undulatus (budgerigar). RNAcentral's name for it is "lncRNA (ENSMUNG00000018767.1)". Lineage: Eukaryota; Metazoa; Chordata; Aves; Psittaciformes; Psittaculidae. The record is from RNAcentral.